Triticum dicoccoides is the source of this 1955-nucleotide long non-coding RNA. RefSeq lists it as uncharacterized. NCBI's taxonomy places the organism in Eukaryota, Viridiplantae, Streptophyta, Magnoliopsida, Poales, Poaceae. The transcript is spliced from 5 exons. The record is from RefSeq and is a predicted model, not a curated record.
CGCUUGCUCCUCCGGGCGCCCCCCCAACGGACGCCAGGACGGGCGGGCCUCCGCCGCCCGCCGAUCCACCGGGCUCCGGCGCCACCCGCCGAGCACGCCCCUCGCCUACCCCGGGGCUGCUUCACCACCGAACGCCGCCACUUCACCGGGCAGCGCCGCCCAACUGCCGCCUAUGACAAACGCCCUCCAUGCCGCCCCACCCUCCCACCGCUCCAUCCUUGUGUUCUCUCACCGAACGCCCUCCCGACGACCACUUCUCCACCAGCAGCGCCACCCCGCUCCUCAGCUGCACCUCCACCAGCGAAUGGCCGCUUCGAUCAACAUCGGCAGUUUCACGGCGGGCUGUUCUGUGGUAGGAGGAUUCGCGGCGUGCUAGGUGGUCUCGGUGUCGAUGCCAUCACGGGUUGCCUCCACUCCCCCGCCGUCGCCGCUCAACUCGGUCUCCGUCGGCGCCGCUCAAUUCGGCCUCUGUUGCCGCUCUCCGAUCCUCCUGCUUCGACCCCUCACCGGUUCUGACGAGAAGAAGUAGAGCUGGGAGGAUGCGGAGUGAUGUGGUGAGGAGCAACAGUUGCAGAGCAUUAGCACUGCGGCAACACACUUCUAUGGUGGUGUAGUGCUUUCACGGACGAGGAAAAGAACGCAUAUACAAGCUCAUAUAUUUGUUAUCUUCUUUCCUGAAUCAUGAUUCCUGUUCUGGAACUACUUCCAUGUCCAAUACUUUGGUGUCCGACCUUGGUAUUGGUUAUCCAUUUCCUUUCUGAACACAUGAGCUUUGGUAUGGAUCUUGGGAGCAAGCCAUCCUCAGUUUGCUUCCAGUGGAGUAGGUAUGGGAAGAAGUGAGCUGAAUCAUCUAUAGAUUAAAGCUAUGCUAUCUGAAUAGUUUAGUUAAAUUAUGUCUUCUUGACUUGCUCUUUAUGUGUUUGCCAAUGGCGGCAGUGGCGGGGAAGUAGGGGAAUAUUAGGUCCUACCACACUAAGGAGCACAUGUCUGUAGGGAAGGAGUUUAUCAAGGAUCUGUGAGCCAAUAAAUAAUACGGAGACGUAUGAUAUCAAUAUGGGACCCAGCCCAGUUUUGGUUUAACACCUUUUGUUAGGAGCUCUUUUGGUGCAGGAAUAAUCAACUAAGAUGACAUUAGUAGUAUAUGUCAACGUACAAGAGUUUGUGAUGACCAAAUAUGAGAUUUCUGGUGCUUAGGUGCGGGUGCCGUCGAUACUCCUAUGCUUCCCAACGGACUCCGACGUCCUGGUCUGAUAGCAGAGAAGCCAAAUCAUGGCUAGUUCGUACCAACACCAAUAGUACUCCGGCAAUCUGGGAUAUUAGUUACUAAAGAAAAUGGUUUGAGGUCAAGAGUUGAAAGCCUGAAGCCAGAUGUUCCUAUGAUGACCUACACAACUCUUGAGAAACAAAAUCAACACAUUAUGUGCCUGCAAGAUUGAAGAUCGUACAUAUAUUUAGUUUGCUCCAGGAUCCUAUAGCAGUGCAUUACUCCAUGCAGUUCCUUUAUCAUCCAUUUUAUUAUUCAUAUCUCUAUAUGGUUGUUAUAUAUAGAUGCUAUUACAGGGAUGUAGCACUAUAUUUUCCAGCCAUUGUUGUAAACAAAACACCCUCUGUAUUGAUACAUAUGUUUUUUUUCUUUUAGUUAUCUCUUUUCAGAGUGGACGAGGUUUCUACAUCAAAGAAAUUAUUUUUAGAUCGUCCUUUUGGUUUCAAAGAAUUCAGAAUAAGUUCCUACACGAGCUGUUACUGGAUAAAUCAUGUACGACACCAUGCUUGCACCCUUAUCCCUGGAGUAUUUGCAGUUGUAUUCUUGGCUGUUCGUUGCACAAGAUGUUAUUACAUGUUGGCAUAGACAUGCAUUGCCAGUCGGAUAAGUUGACUGCAGCUACCCUCGAAGCUGCUCUUUGCAUGUAAAGGAAGCUCAAAAACAGUGUUUUCUUGAGGAAACAAAGCAUGAU